Molecule: ribosomal RNA, 559 nt
Filed under: uncultured bacterium
Lineage: Bacteria
Description: bacterial SSU rRNA
Rfam family: Bacterial small subunit ribosomal RNA
Source: RNAcentral
CGGAAUCUGCCUAUUUGUGGGGGAUAACGUAGGGAAACUUACGCUAAUACCGCAUACGACCUACGGGUGAAAGCGGAGAACCUUCGGGCUUCGCGCAGAUAGAUGAGCCGAUGUCGGAUUAGCUAGUUGGCGGGGUAAAGGCCCACCAAGGCGACGAUCCGUAGCUGGUCUGAGAGGAUGAUCAGCCACACUGGAACUGAGACACGGUCCAGACUCCUACGGGAGGCAGCAGUGGGGAAUAUUGGACAAUGGGCGCAAGCCUGAUCCAGCCAUGCCGCGUGGGUGAAGAAGGCCUUCGGGUUGUAAAGCCCUUUUGUUGGGAAAGAAAAGCAGUCGGUUAAUACCCGAUUGUUCUGACGGUACCCAAAGAAUAAGCACCGGCUAACUUCGUGCCAGCAGCCGCGGUAAUACGAAGGGUGCAAGCGUUACUCGGAAUUACUGGGCGUAAAGCGUGCGUAGGUGGUUUGUUAAGUCUGAUGUGAAAGCCCUGGGCUCAACCUGGGAAUUGCAUUGGAUACUGGCAGGCUAGAGUGCGGUAGAGGGUAGUGGAAUUCCCGGU